This 272-nucleotide unclassified non-coding RNA is filed under the name fungal sp. RNAcentral's name for it is "partial internal transcribed spacer region". The stretch from base 1 to 46 matches the Rfam family "Eukaryotic small subunit ribosomal RNA", at positions 1786 to 1831 of the family's 1831-position model. Lineage: Eukaryota; Fungi. The record is from RNAcentral.
AAGUCGUAACAAGGUUUCCGUAGGUGAACCUGCGGAAGGAUCAUUAACACGGAUCCAAACGUUAAAACCCCCCCCAAGCAGUCAGUGUCGGAAAGUGUCAUUGAUUGUGCAAGGAUAGCGCUUCUACGAUUCCUGUAGACCGUACACUCCUGCAGGAGCUUUGCCAAAGGGUCCCCAUGCCCCCUAAUAACCCCACAGUUUAAUGUGAAGCUCAAUGUAAUACAUUGGGUAAAAAAACCGAACAACUGUUAACAAUGGAUAUCUUGGUUCUC